This is a long non-coding RNA of Neopelma chrysocephalum (saffron-crested tyrant-manakin), 214 nucleotides long. RefSeq lists it as uncharacterized. The record is from RefSeq and is a predicted model, not a curated record. NCBI's taxonomy places the organism in Eukaryota, Metazoa, Chordata, Aves, Passeriformes, Pipridae. The transcript is spliced from 3 exons.
CCCUUCCCGUGUCCCCCCCCAGCUUUGCCAGCGGCCCCCCCGCGCUGUCCAGCAGCCCCCCGGACUCCUUCCAGCAGCUCCACGUGGAUAACGGGAACGUGACGGACAUCAACGACAACAGGAGUGAUUUGUCCUGCGCCUGUGAGGCCGAGGAGGCAGCAAAGCUCUUCCCCCUGCGCCAGGAGACGGCGGCCAGUUAAUGCCCCCCAGGUAC